This is a long non-coding RNA of Orussus abietinus, 334 nucleotides long. RefSeq lists it as uncharacterized. The transcript has 3 exons. The record is from RefSeq and is a predicted model, not a curated record. Lineage: Eukaryota; Metazoa; Arthropoda; Insecta; Hymenoptera; Orussidae.
UAAGACAUCGCUCCUCUCUAUCCUAGACUCCAGAAUAUGCGAGUAAGGCGUUGGGCCAUUCCGUGAGACUGACGUAAUCGGGAAGCCAACCGGUUGGCAUUUCGUAGGAACGGAAGUCGAGUCGGACCAAUCGGAGGCGUGGGUUCGGCACCCGGUACCUGUGCGGAAAUUUAAAUGAGACAGAGGCGAUAAAGCGGCACGGAGUUAGAACUAUUGCACGGUCAGCCGUUAUUUUCAUAGCAGAUUGACAUCAUCCUCGAUAACCCAUAAAGUCACGUCGACGACAGCCGUCCUAUCUUGGAGAUGUUGGAACCGCAUCAAAGGGCUAGCUACC